This 447-nucleotide ribosomal RNA is filed under the name uncultured bacterium. RNAcentral's name for it is "partial 16S ribosomal RNA". It matches the Rfam family "Bacterial small subunit ribosomal RNA", at positions 29 to 523 of the family's 1533-position model. The record is from RNAcentral.
AACGAACGCUGGCGGCAGGCCUAACACAUGCAAGUCGAGCGCCCCGCAAGGGGAGCGGCGGACGGGUGAGUAACACGUGGGAAUUUUCCUCAAGGUACGGAACAACUCAGGGAAACUUGGGCUAAUACCGUAUGAUGCAGAGAUGCCAAAGAUUUAUCGCCUUGGGAUAAGCCCGCGUCAGAUUAGGUAGUUGGUGGGGUAAUGGCCUACCAAGCCUGUGAUCUGUAGCUGGUCUGAGAGGACGAUCAGCCACAUUGGGACUGAGACACGGCCAAAAACCCAACGGGAGGCAGCAGUGGGUAAUCUUGCGAAAUGGAAGAAAGUCUGCCGCAGCCAUGCCGGGUGAAUGAUGAAGUUCUUAGGAUUGUAAAGUUCUUUAGCCUGUGACGAUGAUGCCGGUAACAGGAGAAUAAGCCCCGGCUAACUUCGUGCCAGCCGCCGCGGUAA